GACGGAGGAUGCAAGCGUUAUCCGGAAUGAUUGGGCGUAAAGCGUCCGCAGGUGGCAGUUCAAGUCUGCUGUCAAAGACCGGGGCUUAACUUCGGAAAGGCAGUGGAAACUGAACAGCUAGAGUAUGGUAGGGGCAGAGGGAAUUCCUGGUGUAGCGGUGAAAUGCGUAGAGACCGGAAAGAACACCAACGGCGAAAGCACUCUGCUGGGCCGACACUGACACUGAGAGACGAAAGCUAGGGGGGCGAAUGGG
RNAcentral lists this ribosomal RNA (253 nucleotides) under uncultured bacterium. RNAcentral's name for it is "partial 16S ribosomal RNA". It matches the Rfam family "Bacterial small subunit ribosomal RNA", at positions 524 to 776 of the family's 1533-position model. The record is from RNAcentral.